UACUGAGGAAAGUAGACUCUCAGAAC
RNAcentral lists this non-coding RNA (26 nucleotides) under Rattus norvegicus (Norway rat). Lineage: Eukaryota; Metazoa; Chordata; Mammalia; Rodentia; Muridae. The record is from RNAcentral.